Molecule: small nuclear RNA, 134 nt
Organism: Vulpes vulpes (red fox)
Lineage: Eukaryota; Metazoa; Chordata; Mammalia; Carnivora; Canidae
Source: Ensembl
GUGCUGUAUAAUGAGGAUAAAUGUAUCUGUCUCAGUAAGAGCAGCACAUGUACUAAAAUUGGAAGGAGAAGAGAAGAUUAGCCUGGCCCCUGCAUGAGAAUGGCAUGCAAAUUCCUGAAGUGUUCCAUAUUUGU